UUUCAAACGUCUGUCAAGGUCUUUAGAUCGGAUGCAACAUAUUUCCAAACAAUUUGCAGGUGAACAAGGAAGGUCAACUUUGUAUAGGCCGGAUAUGACGACCUCGGAAGAAAGUAUGCGAUCGAUAGAAGCAAAAGUCGUGGUUUUGGGAUCUCAAGGGGUCGGCAAAACCAGUGUUGUUAUCCGCUAUGUUGGGGGUAUGUUCAGCAAAGCUGUCAGCCCCACCAUCGGGGCAUCCUUCUUCACCUACAAGAUGACCUUAGACAGCUAUAGAGUGAAGUUACAAGUAUGGGACACAGCAGGACAGGAGCGCUUUCGUUCAAUGGCACCAAUGUAUUAUCGAAAAGCCAAUGCAGCUAUGCUUGUCUAUGACAUCACCUCACUGGAAAGUUUCUAUGACAUUAAAGACUGGGUCAAAGAACUGAAAAAGAAUGUGGAUACUCCCAUAGUGAUGUGCCUUCUAGGCAACAAAAGUGACCUUGAGAGUGGUCGAAAAGUUAGCACAGCAGAUGCUGCUGAAUAUGCCAAUUCUAUCGAUGCCUUAUUUUUUGAGACAUCAGCUUUAAAGAACACAGGUAUAGAAGACGCCUUCUUACAAGUUUCUCGACAGCUAAUUAAAUUUUAUGAAACAUAUCCUAACUCAGGACUUGGGAUCCUCAGUCCUCAGCAAGAUGUUACGGACAUUUUUUCAUCAAGUUCUGAAAAUGUGAGGCUGCCUACACGGGAGAACCAGCAGAAAACACCAGAGGCUGAAGGCUGUGGCUGCUGAUGUGUAGAAAACUCCAGAAAAGUGGAUCAUGUUCUUCUACCAACAUUUUGUAGAUCUCCCAUAAAGUCCAUUGGACAAGACAAAGAAAGCAGUGCAAACACUUAAAUGGUUUGGAACACACUGCCAGAGAAAACUUGGCACAUGCAGAAAAUAUAUAUGCAGUCUGGAUUUUAUCGUUCUCCCUCAUUUCUUGAUGGGUUGCAUAAUUAUCACCACAUAUCAUACCAUUGCCUCAUCUUGCUUGCUGUACAGUUGAUCAAAUUUUUAAAAUCAGCAAUAUUCAUUCAAAAUGCAGCCAGUCAAAUAUUAUUCAGUAAAUUUUACAGUGAUUCUGUUUCAUAUGGAUUUGAUUGUUAGCGAAGUGAGCUCUACAUUCUUCUUUCUAAACCUAUAACUGGAAAUAGCCUUCCUUAAUUGUUGGCAAAACAUACACAAGAUAAGUUUUUUUUUCAUGAUGCUGGAAUGAGUUCUAGUUUUCUGUCAUAAUAACCACUUAUUUUGAUAUUAUGUAAAGUGUAUAUACUAAUUAUAGUGAUGUUUUAGAGUGAAUGAAUGGGAUUUUUCUUAAACAGGGACACCACUCCUUCAUUUCAUCCAGCAAUUUAAAAUGAACUAAAAAAUAAGAAAAUUUAACAGAUGACAGUUUUCAUUGCUAAAGCUCCAUUUAAUUAUUAUGCAUUCACGCAGUUUUUAAAAAAAGUAUUUAACUGGUAUGGAUCCACAUUAUAAACGAUUCACCUUCGCAUGGAAUGUACUUACAAAUCCAGAUAAGUUUCCCUCAUUCUAUCACUCUAAAAAAAUGAAAUAUAUGUUACAACAUAAGAAAAUGCUUUUAGGUAACUUGAUGUAGAAAUUCCUAGUACCUCUACUUAUUUUCUUGUAUUUUGUGCCCAUCAGGUCUAGUCAAUUACAAAAAUUUAAAGAUAUGUUUGUUGUAAAUUUAUGUAGUUGUAAACUGAAUUUCAGUUUUGUUAUUAUUUUUUAGUGCUUGGAAGUUCUGUUUAUUGGUUUAUUUUCUUGUAUUGCUUAUAUUUGCAAAGUAUGAUUUUGUUGUAUGCCUGUAUGUUAUGCAGGUUUUUUUCCCUUGCACCAAGCAUUUUAGUCAUCUCAAACUUCUUGUCUGCCAGUUGUGUCCUGUCUUUUUUUUCUUCUUUAAAUCAGAUGGAUCAAUAUAUGAUACCUUGAUCUAUAUUUGUAUGUGCGGGAGUAGUAUUGUGGUGCUGGUUAGUUUGUAAAUAAUGAGGGUUGCGCUGAAUAUUUCCUGGAAAAUGCAAUAUUUUCUUUUAAGCUUUUUUUUUUUAAAAAAUAAAGUUUCUGCAAGCUACUAGGGAUCUAUUGCCAACAGAUGUAAGUAAAAUUUUUGAAGCUGAAGCUUGUGUGCAUGCCAGGUAUCUCAUCUGAAAGGGCAUGAGUCACAACAAGUUCCCAUUUUUAAGGCCAGCAAAAAACAAAAACAAACAGAAACAGGAAUAACCAAUGUUUUUGUGAACUUAUUUUAGUCCUCUUUUUUUUUCUGCAGGCAUCUAGCUUUUAAGUUUUACAGACUAUGUGAACUGUACAACUGAAAGAAGAAAAGCAGGUUUGCAUUUUGAGGUAGAUUGGACAGAAAACAGCAUUAGUUUCGCUUUUUGCUAAUUUGGCAAAUGAUAAAAUCUUUCGUCUUGAGCAGUUGCACUGAGAUAUUGGUGUAAUCCUUAGUCAUGUGGCCUUAAAAAAAUAAUUGGAGAAAGCAAUGGAGAACCAAUGUAAUAUAUUUGUGCUGUAAUAUAUAUUAAUAAAAGAUAGAGGUGAUAAGAUAUCUUCAAAGACAUGGGAGUAUGGUAGACACUGUUCAUUCUCUAUACAUGUCAAAGAUGUCUUUUAACACAAUUGUCCAUUUUAAGGAAGAAAAGAAACUUUAGAAAUCUGUUGUUGGAGCUGGAAAAAUGAAGCAUGUUAAGCCAAGUUACUAAUUAUAUGUUAUGUAAAAUAAUUUUAAUGUGUUUAUAAAACUUAAGCUGACAGUUUUAACAGGUGUUUGUUGAUUGCGCUUAUUUCAAAAUCUUGACCUGGGUUGGAACAAGUUUGAAUGUUUUACUGAGUGCAACUUAUUUCAUGACAGUUUUGAUUUGGGGCUGGGAGUUUUUUUUUCCAGAAAAGAUUAGGCCGGUAUAUUUUACAAUAUUUUUUUCUGUUGUUUUUUGCUUAAUAUUGACAACUUUUGUCAGAAGUAAAAACGGAGUGGAGUGAAGAUGAAUAAAAAUUUUAAAAAUUUGUUGCUGGAGUCUUGUGCUGUGGAUUGUUGAGGAGGUACUAUUUUGCUGUUUGCUAGCUAAAAUACAUGCUUACCUUUUUUCUAAACAUUGUAUUGCAUCAUAAGCAGAGUAAUUCUUUGCAAAAGCUGAACAUUUUCUUUACUUUGUUGUGAAAAUUAAAAAGCUAAGUAGUUAUUAAAAACAAGUACAAUCACUACAAGAAAGCCAUGUAUUUUCAUGGCAUCUUUUAUGUGGAGGGGCUCAGUGAAUUUCUACCAGUAAAAUGCCUUACAAUUCUUUGUAUUGAUCAGCUUUUUUUUUUUGUAAUCCUAUUUUAGUUCCUUAUAUUAAAUUUAUGCUGUGUCCAUUCUCAUUCCAGACAUCUCUCAAAGCUGUCAGCUUGGUCAAGCAUGCUGAUGGAGACGUAAUUAUACAAAUAGGGAGCUAAUAG
RNAcentral lists this unclassified non-coding RNA (3454 nucleotides) under Pomacea canaliculata. RNAcentral's name for it is "ras-related protein Rab-31-like, transcript variant X4". Lineage: Eukaryota; Metazoa; Mollusca; Gastropoda; Architaenioglossa; Ampullariidae. The record is from RNAcentral.